GACGAUUUGUUCCAGCCUAGACCUAGGCCUUCUAUUUUUAUUUAUAUUUUUUUAAUAUUCAGCGCUUUUUCACAUGAAAAGACUGGGAUAGUCCCAGUCUUUUCAUGUGAAAAAGCGCUGAAUAUUAAAAAAAUAUAAAUAAGACUAGAAGGCCUAGGUCUAGGCUGGAUUUGUUCGUC
Molecule: non-coding RNA, 179 nt
Organism: Paramuricea clavata
Lineage: Eukaryota; Metazoa; Cnidaria; Anthozoa; Malacalcyonacea; Plexauridae
Source: the annotation of a GenBank genome assembly